RNAcentral lists this ribosomal RNA (301 nucleotides) under uncultured bacterium. RNAcentral describes it as "partial 16S ribosomal RNA". It matches the Rfam family "Bacterial small subunit ribosomal RNA", at positions 509 to 809 of the family's 1533-position model. The record is from RNAcentral.
CAGCCGCCGCGGUAAUACGAGGGGGGCAAGCGUUGUUCGGAAUUAUUGGGCGUAAAGGGUGCGUGGGCGGUUUGACAAGUUCUAUGUGAAAUCUAUGGGCUCAACCCAUAGUCUGCAUGGAAAACUGUCGGGCUUGAGUACGGUAGGGGCAGAGGGAAUUUCCAGUGGAGCGGUGAAAUGCGUUGAGAUCGAAAAGAACACCAACAGCGAAAGCACUCUGCUGGGACGACACUGACACUAAGAGACGAAAGCUAGGGGAGCAAAUGGGAUUAGAUACCCCCGUAGUCCCUGUCUCUUAUAA